This 253-nucleotide ribosomal RNA is filed under the name uncultured bacterium. RNAcentral describes it as "partial 16S ribosomal RNA". It matches the Rfam family "Bacterial small subunit ribosomal RNA", at positions 524 to 776 of the family's 1533-position model. The record is from RNAcentral.
UACGUAGGGUCCAAGCGUUAUCCGGAAUUACUGGGCGUAAAGCGUACGUAGGCGGGAGUUUAAGUCAGGGGUGAAAUGCCAAGGCUCAACCUUGGAACUGCCUUUGAUACUGGAGAUCUUGAGUCCGGGAGAGGUGAGUGGAAUUGCGAGUGUAGAGGUGAAAUUCGUAGAUAUUCGCAAGAACACCAGUGGCGAAGGCGGCUCACUGGCCCGGAACUGACGCUGAGACGCGAAAGCGUGGGGAGCAAACAGG